Molecule: ribosomal RNA, 423 nt
Filed under: uncultured bacterium
Lineage: Bacteria
Description: bacterial SSU rRNA
Rfam family: Bacterial small subunit ribosomal RNA
Source: RNAcentral
CGCAAGUUUGAACCAACCCUGUCGCGUGCAGGAUGACGGCCCUAUGGGUUGUAAACUGCUUUUUUACAGGAAUUAACGGUGGUACGUGUAGUGAUUUGAAUGUACUGUAUGAAUAAGGAUUGGCUAACUCCGUGCCAGCAGCCGCGGUAAUACGGAGGAUUCGAGCGUUAUCCGGAUUUAUUGGGUUUAAAGGGUCCGUAGGCGGUUCUUUAAGUCAGUGGUGAAAUCCCAGAGCUCAACUCUGGAACUGCCAUUGAAACUGAAGAACUUGAAUAUGGUUGAGGUAGGCGGAAUACGUUAUGUAGCGGUGAAAUGCAUAGAUAUAACGUAGAACACCAAUUGCGAAGGCAGCUUACUAAACCAUUAUUGACGCUGAUGGACGAAAGCGUGGGGAGCGAACAGGAUUAGAUACCCUGGUAGUCC